AACCUAUUAAUUUAAAAGAUAAAUAUUGAGUUGUGGUCUCAAAAAUGCGGAAGCGCAUAGGUUU
RNAcentral lists this transfer RNA (64 nucleotides) under Enchytraeus irregularis. RNAcentral's name for it is "tRNA-His". The record is from RNAcentral. Lineage: Eukaryota; Metazoa; Annelida; Clitellata; Enchytraeida; Enchytraeidae.